This 83-nucleotide long non-coding RNA is filed under the name Bos indicus x Bos taurus (hybrid cattle). RNAcentral's name for it is "lncRNA (ENSBIXG00000028556.1)". The record is from RNAcentral. Lineage: Eukaryota; Metazoa; Chordata; Mammalia; Artiodactyla; Bovidae.
GGAAUGAAAACCACGGGGAAAAGCAAAACAUGAAAUCAAAACUAACAUAGGAUUUUCAAGACAGGACAACUUGAGUCAGGAGG